Molecule: long non-coding RNA, 468 nt
Filed under: Zostera marina
Lineage: Eukaryota; Viridiplantae; Streptophyta; Magnoliopsida; Alismatales; Zosteraceae
Description: long non-coding RNA (ZMAR_LNC004962)
Source: RNAcentral
GCCUACAAAUCAUUACCCAUCACCGGCACCGGCGGAAGAUGCACCUAUUGAACAUUACCCAUCACCGGCACCGGCGGCAGCAGUGACAGCAGCACCUAUUGAACACUACCCAUCAUCGCCAACGGCGGAAGAAGCACCUAUUGAACACUACCCAUCACCGGCACCGGCGGCAGCAGCACCUAUUGAACAGUACUACCCAUCACCGCCAACGGCGGAAGCAGCACCUAUUGAACAGUACUACCCAUCACCGCCAACGGCGGAAGCAGCACCUAUUGAACACGACUACCCAUCACCGCUACCGGCGGCAGCAGUGGAAGCAGCACCUAUUGAACACGACUACCCAUCACCGCCACCGCCGGUAGCAGUGGCAGCAGCACCUAUUGAACAGUACUACCCAUCACCGCCGGUAGCAGUGGCAGCAGCACCUAUUGGACAGUACUACCCAUCACCGCCACCGGCGGAAGCAGC